This 1564-nucleotide long non-coding RNA is filed under the name Malus domestica (apple). RNAcentral describes it as "long non-coding RNA (MDOM_LNC013017)". Lineage: Eukaryota; Viridiplantae; Streptophyta; Magnoliopsida; Rosales; Rosaceae. The record is from RNAcentral.
GAUCCGCUCAAAUCCACCUUCAAAGAUCAAGCCCACGGCCCCUUGAAGAAACUUCUAACAGUUCAUCCAAGAUCAAGCCUCAACGGCCUUUGGAUCAACGAAACAUCCACAAAUCAACACCUUACGGAGAUCGAAUCAGAGGAUCAAAUUUGAGAGAAAUUGUAACCCAAAAUCAUCAAAUACAAAUAUUUGUUUGUGCACGUUGUUCUUGUCUCUUUCGUUUCAGGAAUUUUCCGUGUUCACAAUAGGCAUGCAUAAUAUUCAACGGACCACAUGUAAAGGACCGAAGAAAUUUUGGAUCUCUCACUUGGAAUGUCGUUUAUUUUUUAAAACUUGAUUUGAAUUCAAAUUUCAAAUACAAUAUGAGACAAGUUCGUUUUAUAUAGCUUCGGGUGACUAGUGUUGACCAUAUUUUAGCGUGUUCUUUCUCCAUCUGGAGAGAUGCCCUAGGUCCCAAUUCAUAUUUUAGAGAAGGCACUCAGAUUAAGUUUAGUGGUUUUUUAUUUUAUUUCAUAUUUAUUUAUUUAUUUUUAAGCUCGACCCUGAAUUUCUCUCUCUCAAUUGAAGGAAAUAGGGUUUUAGCUAACCUCCAUAUUUGUACAAAAGAAAACGAAUGAUAAAAGUUCAUGACAAAAAUGCACACUUAAUUCAACCGAUCAAUCAGCCAAUAUUUUCUAAUGAAUAAUAUUAGGUAGACUAAAUUUGCAAAUUAAAUAAUGUGUCACCAAUAAAAAAUAAGUACGUUAAUUGACAGUUAAGAAAUAAUCUAAUCAUCAACUUUUAUGUCAUUUAAUUAAUUUUUAAAAUCUAAUCUACAAAUUUAAUCUUCCUAACAUUAACCUUUUUCUAAUUGAAGAUGCCACGAACUUAUGCUUGUGUCUUUGUUUGUUUUAUCUUUUUCUCUUUCUCUUUUUCUUUUUUGUUGGUAGAGAGCUAAACCAGAUCAGUGCCUGCUUUGAGUAAAGCAACUUGUGCAAUUGCACAGGACCCCCACCUCCAAAGGGCUCCUAGAUUAAUUAACUUUGCGAUCUUAUUACUUUGUUUCCUUUUUGGGAUGAGAGAUAAAGAGAUUCAUGAAAGAAUAUGUGGAUUUUCUAUUUCAAAUUUUUAAUAUCGAAGACUAAUUUUUGAUUUAAUGUUUUAUUGUUAGAAAUUUUAUUUGAACCCAUACAAACUCUCUUUACAACCAGCCUACUCUUUACACCUAUAUUAUUUUUAGGAGAAAUUAGGUUCUCAUCCUUCCUUUUGCUACUUCAUUGAUUAAAGGCAAAUUUUACUAAAACCCAUUUCAUUCAACCUCUUUUUACACCCAAUUCUAAAAAUAUUUUAUUCAAAUUCCUAAUUCACCCUUGUAUAAAAUUGAAAAACAAAAAAGAAAAUCAAAAUGUCUUUUUACACCCACUGUCACUUCCAUCUCAAACCCCACCAGAGAUUUGCUGGUGAUUUUUCAGGGCAACUUCUGCCUUCAUUGACAGCCCAUUUACCUUUCACAAGCUUUGACAUCUAACGCCUUCCAUCGGGAGAGGAUCCUCUCCGAACCCAAACCCACCGGAUCCUCCGGAUC